This 71-nucleotide ribosomal RNA is filed under the name Oenococcus oeni. RNAcentral describes it as "partial 23S ribosomal RNA". Lineage: Bacteria; Bacillati; Bacillota; Bacilli; Lactobacillales; Lactobacillaceae. The record is from RNAcentral.
GAUAGGUUAAGUUAAUAAGGGCGCAUGGUGGAUGCCUUGGCACUAGAAGGCGAUGAAGGACGUGACUAACU